UGGGGAAUCUUGGACAAUGGGCGCAAGCCUGAUCCAGCCAUGCCGCGUGGAUGAUGAAGGCCUUAGGGUUGUAAAAUCCUUUUCGCCGAGGACGAUAAUGACGGUACUCGGAGAAGAAGCUCCGGCUAACUUCGUGCCAGCAGCCGCGGUAAUACGAAGGGGGCUAGCGUUGUUCGGAUUUACUGGGCGUAAAGCGCGUGUAGGCGGGUCGUUAAGUUGGGGGUGAAAUCCCGAGGCUCAACCUCGGAACUGCCUUCAAAACUGGCGACCUGGACCUAAGUAGAGGCAAGUGGAAUUGCGAGUGUAGAGGUGAAAUUCGUAGAUAUUCGCAGGAACACCAGUGGCGAAGGCGACUUGCUGGACUUAUGGUGACGCUGAGACGCGAAAGCGUGGGGAGCAAACAGGAUUAGAUACCCGUGUAGUCCCUGAGCGGGCUGGCAAGGCGCAU
This 448-nucleotide ribosomal RNA is filed under the name uncultured bacterium. Its description in RNAcentral is "bacterial SSU rRNA". It matches the Rfam family "Bacterial small subunit ribosomal RNA", at positions 355 to 825 of the family's 1533-position model. The record is from RNAcentral.